UGGGGAAUAUUGGACAAUGGGGGCAACCCUGAUCCAGCAAUGCCGCGUGUGUGAAGAAGGUCUUCGGAUUGUAAAGCACUUUCGACGGGGACGAUGAUGACGGUACCCGUAGAAGAAGCCCCGGCUAACUUCGUGCCAGCAGCCGCGGUAAUACGAAGGGGGCUAGCGUUGCUCGGAAUGACUGGGCGUAAAGGGCGUGUAGGCGGUUUACACAGUCAGAUGUGAAAUCCCCGGGCUUAACCUGGGAGCUGCAUUUGAUACGUGUAGACUAGAGUGUGAGAGAGGGUUGUGGAAUUCCCAGUGUAGAGGUGAAAUUCGUAGAUAUUGGGAAGAACACCGGUGGCGAAGGCGGCAACCUGGCUCAUGACUGACGCUGAGGCGCGAAAGCGUGGGGAGCAAACAGGAUUAGAUACCCUGGUAGUCCACGCUGUAAACGAUGUGUGCUAGAUGUUGGGUAACUUUGUUAUUCAGUGUCGCAGUUAACGCGUUAAGCACACCGCC
This 501-nucleotide ribosomal RNA is filed under the name uncultured bacterium. RNAcentral describes it as "partial 16S ribosomal RNA". It matches the Rfam family "Bacterial small subunit ribosomal RNA", at positions 355 to 873 of the family's 1533-position model. The record is from RNAcentral.